RNAcentral lists this ribosomal RNA (207 nucleotides) under uncultured delta proteobacterium. Its description in RNAcentral is "partial 16S ribosomal RNA". It matches the Rfam family "Bacterial small subunit ribosomal RNA", at positions 568 to 774 of the family's 1533-position model. The record is from RNAcentral. Lineage: Bacteria; Deltaproteobacteria.
CGUGUAGGCGGUUUGUUAAGUCUGUUGUGAAAGCCCUGGGCUCAACCCAGGAAGUGCACUGGAUACUGGCAGACUUGAAUACGGGAGAGGGUAGUGGAAUUCCUGGUGUAGGAGUGAAAUCCGUAGAUAUCAGGAGGAACACCGGUGGCGAAGGCGGCUACCUGGACCGAUAUUGACGCUGAGACGCGAAAGCGUGGGUAGCAAACA